AUGAUUCAAAAAUACAACAUUGGGCAUGUGAAGUAUUUCCAAAUCAUGUGGAAGAAAAGGAAAAGGUUUGUCCCUGUCUAUUUCAAGAUGGAGUUCUUCCCCUUCAUUCACUCUACUGCGCGUAGUGAAGGCACCAACGCCAUUUUCAAGGACAACAUCACAUCAACCCACAAUGUGAUCAGCUUCCUCCAAGAGUACCAGAAGAUUUCAGAAACCAUACAAGAUAAGGAGAGGGAGCAAGACUCUAUCACAAGAACGACUUCGCCGACAUUCUGGGCACGAAGUGAGCUCGAGAUACAAGCUGCAAAAAUGUACAAUAGAAAGAUAUUUUACAGAUUCCAAAAACAGAUAAAGUUUGUGCUGAAUUUGCAUGUUGAAGAGGUUGAGAGAAAUGUGAAAUAUGAAGUCUACAAGACACCAAUGCUAGCUGAAAAGGAUUUCAGAACACGAAGAUUUGUUGUGAUUGUGAACUUGCAGGAACAGUUGUUCAGUUGUAUCUGUGGGAAAUUUCAGAAAGAUGGCAUUGUGUGUUGCCAUGUCUUGAGAGUACUUUCUCAUCUCAACAUGUCUGUGCUUCUAGAAAAAUAUUACAUAGAAAGGUGGAGGCCAAAAAAUACAAAGGACAUACGGGACAUCCAUUUCAUUGUUCCUUUGGAACUAACUGCUGGAAGUCAACACUUAAGGUAUACCCUGCUAUCCAACAGGCUCAAUGAGAUGGCCUCAGACGGUGCAUCAACAAACAGAAAAUAUCUGUAUGUUGUAGCAGAAUGUGAAAGGGUGCAACAAAGGUUGGAUGAGAUGACUAAAGAGGAUGAACUUGUAGAAGCGCAGCAAGCAAAUGUUGACAAGGACACAACAGAGACUGAUGCAGCACCGCAUCCUAAUGGCUAUGGAGACAAACUUCAAGAUCCUGAUGUUGCAGUGUCAAAAGGGCGUCCACAAAAAGGACGUUACAAAACUUUCAUGGAAAGUUUAGCAUCUAAACAGAAAGUCACAUGCAGUCGGUGUGGGAAGCCUGGUCAUUAUAAAAGUUCUUGUACUGCAAGUACUGAAGAUAUCAAUUUGGCCCAGAAAGAAAAAGUCAUCCGCAAACAGACCUCAAGUUUUGCAUCAAAAACUUUUCUAUUUUGGUGUUACCUAGUUUUUCCAGCAUUACAAAAAAGAACUUGUAGUUCAUUUUAUUCAUUUUGA
Molecule: ribosomal RNA, 1191 nt
Filed under: Triticum aestivum (bread wheat)
Lineage: Eukaryota; Viridiplantae; Streptophyta; Magnoliopsida; Poales; Poaceae
Description: partial small subunit ribosomal RNA
Source: RNAcentral